Molecule: long non-coding RNA, 217 nt
Filed under: Carica papaya (papaya)
Lineage: Eukaryota; Viridiplantae; Streptophyta; Magnoliopsida; Brassicales; Caricaceae
Description: long non-coding RNA (CPAP_LNC005463)
Source: RNAcentral
AAGACAUAUUUUUAAGUUUGGUUUUGGCUACAAAAGUUUUUAUUUAUCCUUUUGGUUGCAAAUUUUUCUAUAGAUGCAAAGCUGCAACCAAACUGGUACUUACCAAGAAAAGUUAUCAUCUGAGUGUAACCUGGAUUAGAUGAAGUCAUAUACAUGGUGGCUAAAGAUGUAAUAUAUAGAUUUCACGAGAAUUAUAGAUGGAUAAAUUUUUUCUUUU